AUAACUAGAGUAUGUAGAAGUAGAUGAAUUCUAGUGUAGCGGGAAAUGUGUAAUAUAGGAGGAACACCAGUGCGAAGGCGACCACCUGAUUUAUACUCACACUCCCGAGCAGGGCGGGGGGAGUAAACCGAUUAGAUACCUUGGUAGAGCUCGCCGUCGACGAGGUCGACUAGCAGUGAUUUCCUUGAGAUCAUAGUGAGGCAGAUAUCGUGAUAAGUCGACGUCCUGGGGAGUACGGCUGCAAGGUUAAAACUCAAAUGAAUUGACUGAGGCCCGCACAAGCGGUGGAGCAUAGGUUUAAUUCGAAGCAACGCGAAGAACCUUACCUGGCCUUGACAUGCAGAGAACUUUCCAGAGAUGGAUUGGUGCCUUCGGGAACUCUGACACAGGUGCUGCAUGGCUGUCGUCAGCUCGUGUCGUGAGAUGUUGGGUUAAGUCCCGUAACGAGCGCAACCCUUGUCCUUAGUUACCAGCACCUCGGGUGGGCACUCUAAGGAGACUGCCGGUGACAAACCGGAGGAAGGUGGGGAUGACGUCAAGUCAUCAUGGCCCUUACGGCCAGGGCUACACACGUGCUACAAUGGUCGGUACAAAGGGUUGCCAAGCCGCGAGGUGGAGCUAAUCCCAUAAAACCGAUCGUAGUCCGGAUCGCAGUCUGCAACUCGACUGCGUGAAGUCGGAAUCGCUAGUAAUCGUGAAUCAGAAUGUCACGGUGAAUACGUUCCCGGGCCUUGUACACACCGCCCGUCACACCAUGGGAGUGGGUUGCUCCAGAAGUAGCUAGUCUAACCGCAAGGAGGACGGUUACCACGGAGUGAUUCAUGACUGGGGGAAGUCUAGCAAGAUCGAGGCCAGGGG
This 858-nucleotide ribosomal RNA is filed under the name Metapseudomonas otitidis. RNAcentral's name for it is "bacterial SSU rRNA". It matches the Rfam family "Bacterial small subunit ribosomal RNA", at positions 637 to 1509 of the family's 1533-position model. Lineage: Bacteria; Pseudomonadati; Pseudomonadota; Gammaproteobacteria; Pseudomonadales; Pseudomonadaceae. The record is from RNAcentral.